CCCGUAACGAGCGCAACCCUUGUCCUUAGUUACCAGCACGUUAUGGUGGGCACUCUAAGGAGACUGCCGGUGACAAACCGGAGGAAGGUGGGGAUGACGUCAAGUCAUCAUGGCCCUUACGGCCUGGGCUACACACGUGCUACAAUGGUCGGUACAGAGGGUUGCCAAGCCGCGAGGUGGAGCUAAUCCCAUAAAACCGAUCGUAGUCCGGAUCGCAGUCUGCAACUCGACUGCGUGAAGUCGGAAUCGCUAGUAAUCGCGAAUC
Molecule: ribosomal RNA, 265 nt
Filed under: Pseudomonas sp. April_NA2D8
Lineage: Bacteria; Pseudomonadati; Pseudomonadota; Gammaproteobacteria; Pseudomonadales; Pseudomonadaceae
Description: partial 16S ribosomal RNA
Rfam family: Bacterial small subunit ribosomal RNA
Source: RNAcentral